Molecule: ribosomal RNA, 445 nt
Filed under: uncultured bacterium
Lineage: Bacteria
Description: partial 16S ribosomal RNA
Rfam family: Bacterial small subunit ribosomal RNA
Source: RNAcentral
CCAGACUCCUACGGGAGGCAGCAGUGGGGAAUAUUGCACAAUGGGGGAAACCCUGAUGCAGCGACGCCGCGUGAGUGAGGAAGUAUUUCGGUAUGUAAAGCUCUAUCAGCAGGGAAGAAAAUGACGGUACCUGACUAAGAAGCCCCGGCUAACUACGUGCCAGCAGCCGCGGUAAUACGUAGGGGGCGAGCGUUAUCCGGAUUCACUGGGUGUAAAGGGUGCGUAGGCGGCUAUGCAAGUCAGUAGUGAAAUCCAUGGGCUUAACCCAUGAACUGCUAUUGAAACUGCACAGCUUGAGUGAAGUAGAGGUAGGCGGAAUUCCCGGUGUAGCGGUGAAAUGCGUAGAUAUCAGGAGGAACACCGGCGGCGAAGGCGGCCUGCUGGACCGCUACUGACGUUGAGGCUCGAAAGCGUGGGGAGCGAACAGGAUUAGAUACCCGAGUAA